GCCACACUGCCUGCUUAACCCCAAAGCCAACCACACCAAUGUGUCAGAGGAAGCAAUCAUAUACCUGGCAUCCAUGUCAGCAUACAUGCACCCAGCCUGCCACAGGAGUUGCUAGAGCACAAUGGGACAAGGACAUCACUGCCAGCCAAACCAUCCACUAAAUCAGACAAUGCUGGGUUAAUUGUGUACCACUCCAUGGGUCUCCCAUUCACAACUGGCUACAACAGAGCCUGGACUCAAACCAGGAUCUCUAGUGGAAGAGUUAGCAACUACAAUGCAGUGCCUUAGACCAAUGCGCCACUCGGGAGGCCUAGAUUGAAAUCUAUAAACACUGAGGUGAAGCCAGGUGUGCAAAACGUCUUAUGUCAUAUUCAUAUACAUCAUAGGAUGAUAUCUUAAUGUUUAUCCUUAAAGGCUGCCAAUCAAAUACAGGAUGGGGGUGGGCAUCUGUAAUUACAAUCAAAGCAAAAAAAUGAUAUUUGGAGAUUGUUCAUAUAGAUAAACAAUAGCUGCCAAAGCAUGUUUUUGAAUGAUCAAAGAAUGGCUUGGCUAGUCACCAAGUCAUCAUCAGAAGUUGGACCUCCUUUUGCUUUUGGGGAGAAUAAAAAGGAGCAGAUCUCUCCCUCAGACUUCAUAUCGUUCUUCAGCAAUCCUUUGAUUCUCUUGUGGUGCUGCACUACUAAAGAAUCCUUCAAGAUGAAAACCUUCAUUCUGAUCGCCUGCAUCCUGGGGACUGCUCUCGGCCGCCCUCAAAGGCUGGUCAUGGAGUUUGACUUCCAGGCUGCCAACGCUCAGGCUCUCCAAGCUGGACAAGCCAGACCUAAUCUAGAGAUUGUGGGUGUUUGACAAAAUAAAUAGUUCAAAUUAAUCACAAUACAUUUCCCAUUCUAGAUUGAAGUCAAACUUCUAAGUUUAUUCUAGUAACCAGUGUGUUUUCUAAUUUUACAGAUUCUUCCUGUUGGUGGCGGAGUACCUGUAAGUAACCAUAGCAACAUAGUGAAAUACUGUACAUGUUAGUGCUGUUGAUUUAGUUAUGCUGCACCAGUGAAUCUCACAAUAAUACAGUGAAUGUUCAAUCCAGUCAAUGUCAAAGAUGUUGGGGCGGCAGGUUGUCUGGUGGUUAGAGUCUUGGGCCAGUAAUCUAAAGGUUGCUGGAUCGAGUCCCCGAGCUGACAAGGUAAACAUAUGUUGUUCUGCCCCUGAACAAGGCAGUUAGCCCACUGUUCUCCGGUAUGCUGUCAUUGUAAAGAAGAAUUUGUUCUUAACUGACUUGCCUAGUUAAAUAAAGGUUAAAUGAAAAUGGUUCACUAUCAGAAAUUCAGAAAAUCAUGAUGAAAGUGCGUGUGUGUCAAUCAAUAGUCGGGUGGUGUCCUCAGCCAGGAGGGCGUUGAGAUUAUGAGUGAUCAUCACCCCCAUUAAUGUACGGUACACAGUACAACAAAUGUAUUGUGCGUCUGUUUGAUUGGAUAUAUGACUCAAUCCCUUUCUCUCCUCUCCUCCUGUACCUUCCCUUCAAGAUCCAGGUUGCACCACCUCCGCCUGCUCCUGCUGCACCUGCCAGUGUAAGACCCAAUACCUAUCUGCCUUCAUGUCCGCAACAUACAGUACAUCAGGUGGCAUUUUGAACGUAAUUGAAAGAAGUCCUGCUGAGACUGAGACUGUACUAACAUGGACACCGUACCUACGUUCAUAUAGGUGCUACUGUGAAAGAGUCUCACUCAAUCAUGUUGAAAAAAAAAAAAUAUAUAUAUAUAUAUAUAUAUAGUGUGAUACAGAGGUUGUUGUUGAUCAUGGACUUUGGCUAGUAAGUCCAUGUCAUUUUCAAAUGAAAAAUAUUGAUUUCCAAUAUGUUAUAGUGGGUUACUUUAAAGAUACUGUCAAAAAAGCUGGGAACAGUGUCUUCAACCAUUCAUUUAGCCACUGUGAUGUGAAAUGAAACAACUGUUCAAAUAGGAGUGCUGAUUGAUUAAUUGGCAACCACUGUUAUUGCAGACUCAUACAUCCAAUGAGGAAGACGAUUAGAGAUGUGAGUAAGACCUUUAUAUGACACACACUUGUAUUGCCAUAUUUAAGCUCGUGAAUUGAUGAAUUCCUUAACCGUUCUGUCACAGAGCAAUGUAACAGGCUUGAUAAUGUUGUUUGGUGCUACAGUACCUAUGUUUGAUUGUGGUCAGUUUUUUUUGUAUUACUGUGUAAAAUCUACAGUACAUUCUAAACUCAUAAGACCUACAUUUAUCAUACCUCAUGUGGUUAAAUCUUAGACUCAGAAGUCUGCUGACUUUGCACUUACCUGUAUUUCUGUUUCUCAAUCCUCCAUAUUUUACUAUUUUCAGAUUAUUUUUUAUUUUUUUAACUAGGCAAUUAGUUAAGAACAAAUUCUUAUUUUCAAUGACAGCCUAGGAACACUGGGUUAACUGCCUGUUCAGGGGCAGAAUGACAGAUUUAUACAUGGUCAGCUUGGGGAUUUGAACUUGCAACCUUCUGGUUACUAGCACAACGCACUAACCGCUAGGCCACCCUGCCUCAAAUACUUGGAAAUCUACAAUACCCUUUGAUGAACAACAAUGUCCUUCAACUCCACAGCUGCUUUUAGUGUCCUAGAUUGAUUCAGUAAAUGCAAUGCUUAACCCAGCAAUAAACAUUGCGUAACAUGGUGCUUAACUGAUGGCUUGAUGCAUGAAAGCUGUGUGUAAUUGUUUGUACUUGGCAGAAGAAUGUUAAUAAAACCCCCAGAAUGUUUUGCCAACCUUCUCCAUACCAUGCCUCAAUUUUCUUUCUUGUCCCUGCUUGUUAGUCUGUGGCAUUGAUGAC
This 2811-nucleotide long non-coding RNA is filed under the name Oncorhynchus mykiss (rainbow trout). RNAcentral describes it as "lncRNA (ENSOMYG00000068018.1)". The record is from RNAcentral. Lineage: Eukaryota; Metazoa; Chordata; Actinopteri; Salmoniformes; Salmonidae.